AAAGGUCAUAACAAGGUUUUCCUGCUAGGUGAAACCCUGCAGAAGGAUCAUUAGUGAAGCAAUAGGGGAACCCACUCGCUGGGCCCCGACCCUCAACCUUAUCCACGACACCUGUGAAACCCGUUCGGGUCCGUGGGUCUCCCCUUACGCGGGGCCAGGCUGAGGGACUGGCCAAUCCCCCUUUUUUAAACAAACCCUGAGUACGUGGAAUGUAGUUUGAUAUUAUCUUGCCGCAAGGCAGAACUAAACACAA
RNAcentral lists this unclassified non-coding RNA (253 nucleotides) under plant metagenome. Its description in RNAcentral is "partial contains small subunit ribosomal RNA and internal transcribed spacer 1". The record is from RNAcentral.